UUGAUUUUCAAAAUUUCUUUUGUAUUUGUUGUUGGGGAGAGAGGAGGGGGUUUUGCCAAUUUUGGUCCAGACAUGAAGUUCAUUGGUCUAUAUGUGUCAGAAGAACAAGUCUUUGACAUUGACACAAUGCAACUCAAAACAGUGACUAGCAAUGUGAUGAAGUUCACAGAAACCAGAGACAUUAUUGCAAUCGCAACUGUAAUUCAAUGCUGAAGUAAUCGAUUAUGCUCUGUCCAUCAUGAUUUCUCGACUGGCUCAGACCAAUUUCUUGUCUUCUGUUUUUUUUUUUUUUAUUAGGUGAAACUAAGAACUGG
This 314-nucleotide long non-coding RNA is filed under the name Eucalyptus grandis. RNAcentral describes it as "long non-coding RNA (EGRA_LNC007891)". Lineage: Eukaryota; Viridiplantae; Streptophyta; Magnoliopsida; Myrtales; Myrtaceae. The record is from RNAcentral.